This 84-nucleotide non-coding RNA is filed under the name unclassified sequences. RNAcentral's name for it is "skipping-rope RNA". It matches the Rfam family "skipping-rope RNA". Rfam says of the family: Firmicutes, Fusobacteria, AlphaProteobacteria, Spirochaetes. The record is from Rfam by way of RNAcentral.
AUUAUUUGAGGUAGACAAUUGUGCCAUCUACACACCUUUUAAAGGUCAAAAGAGAUACAGGAUGUGGCACACCUGUCAAAUAAU